This 331-nucleotide long non-coding RNA is filed under the name Gallus gallus (chicken). The record is from RNAcentral. Lineage: Eukaryota; Metazoa; Chordata; Aves; Galliformes; Phasianidae.
UAAGGACUGGUUUUCUGGGACAGCAGCUGUACUGGAUUUCUACUGUAAGGUUUUAGCAGCGAGAGAAGGGCUUUUGGGGGUUCUGAACAGAAACUGCCCCAUGUCUGAUCAGAGCCAGCUCCAAGCAGAUCUAAACAGGACCUGCCACUGGCCAAAACUGAGCCAGUGGGAGAUGCUCAUUGCAUCUCUGAGAACCAGUUAAUAAGGGAAAAACUGCUGUUCCUCAGCAGAUGAGAGAAAGGAGUGAAAAAUGUGAAAGAACAACCCUGCAGCCACCAAGGUCAGUGCAGAAGGAGGGCAGCAGGUGCUACAGGCAUAGAGCAGAAGCUCC